This is a non-coding RNA of Camelina sativa (false flax), 1032 nucleotides long. Lineage: Eukaryota; Viridiplantae; Streptophyta; Magnoliopsida; Brassicales; Brassicaceae. The record is from RefSeq and is a predicted model, not a curated record.
ACAACAUCCUCUUUUUUUCGAUUGUCUUAACUCAUCUCUCUCUAUCUUCUUCCUCUGUCGAUUCAUCUUCAGUUGAUACUAAAAUUUCUCUUAAUCUCAAUUUCCGUCAUGUAACUCUCCAUGGAUCUGUUAUAGCAACCUGAUGAAAAAGCGAAAAAACGAAAAAGAAAAGAUGCUUUCGGGAUACUUAUGAUGGAGAUGCACAUGCAAAGAUUGGGUUCAGCCGGAGAAUUUUUGAUUUUGUUAAUUCCUUCUACAAAUCGAUCAUGUGGAGAAAACCGCUUUGUGAUAUCACAAUCAUACGAACGGGAGGUUAUUGACUGUAACAUAGAUUAAUAACAAAAAGAUAAGUACAUUGGACAUUGGUUAAUUUAUAAUAGCUAUAAGUUAUUACUUAUGUGAAUUGAAAUGCUGACUACGGUUGUUGUAUGUUUGUAGGUUAGCUGCUAAACAUCAAGUAAUUACACUUUACAAAAGGAUGAGAAGAUUCAUCAUGAAUGACAGAACUCAUAUCUAAAGUUAGUUUUAAAAGGGGGUUACUGAUUGCAAAAGAGAUAAAUAACAAUCAGAUAAGUACUUUGGAAAUUGGUUAAUUUACAAUAGCUAUAAGUUAUUGCUUAUGUGAAUUGAAAUGCUGACUACAGUUGUUGUAUUCUAGUAGGUUAGCUGCUAAAUAUCAAGUAAUUACAAUUUACAAAAGGGUGAGAAGAUUCAUAAUGAUUGAUAGAACUCAUAUAUAAAAGGUAUGUUUUCUGGAACCCCAACUUAUUCAAUCUAAUGUGGUUUGGUUGUCCAUCUAAUGUGUAACUACUAUCUAUGAUGUGUGUUUAUAAUGAUAGAGAACUUUGAAUAAGUAAAAACAAAAACAUUGACAUCGUAAAACAUUUAGAAGCAGCAUACCUUCUUCCUUUCAAACUUGAUUAAUUCCUCGUUCCAUGAAAAAUAUUGAGAAAUUUCCUUGAAAGUAAGAUGUCUAGCCUCCAGAGCCGUCCCUAAGUUAAUAAAGGCCACAAUCAAAUUAAAAUAAAAGGG